AUUGAACGCUGGCGGCAUGCCUUACACAUGCAAGUCGAACGGCAGCACGGGAGCAAUCCUGGUGGCGAGUGGCGAACGGGUGAGUAAUAUAUCGGAACGUGCCCAGUAGUGGGGGAUAACUGCUCGAAAGAGCAGCUAAUACCGCAUACGACCUGAGGGUGAAAGCGGGGGGAUCGCAAGACCUCGCGCUAUUGGAGCGGCCGAUAUCAGAUUAGCUAGUUGGUGGGGUAAAGGCCUACCAAGGCAACGAUCUGUAGUUGGUCUGAGAGGACGACCAGCCACACUGGGACUGAGACACGGCCCAGACUCCUACGGGAGGCAGCAGUGGGGAAUUUUGGACAAUGGGCGCAAGCCUGAUCCAGCAAUGCCGCGUGCAGGAAGAAGGCCUCGGUUGUAACUAGCUUUGUCUAGGGAAGGAAAUACCUCUGGGCUAAUAUCCCGGGGGAGUGACGGUACCGUGAAGAAUAAGCACCGGCUAACUACGUAGCCAGCAGCCGCGGUAA
Molecule: ribosomal RNA, 503 nt
Filed under: uncultured bacterium
Lineage: Bacteria
Description: bacterial SSU rRNA
Rfam family: Bacterial small subunit ribosomal RNA
Source: RNAcentral